This 473-nucleotide ribosomal RNA is filed under the name uncultured bacterium. RNAcentral describes it as "bacterial SSU rRNA". It matches the Rfam family "Bacterial small subunit ribosomal RNA", at positions 29 to 512 of the family's 1533-position model. The record is from RNAcentral.
AGUGAACGCUGGCGGCGUGCCUAACACAUGCAAGUCGAACGAGAACGGAUUUAAGCUUGCUUAAAUUGUCAGCUAAGUGGCGCACGGGUGAGUAAUGUAUAGAUAACGUGCCUAGAAGAAGGGGAUAAUUGUUGGAAACGACUUGUAAUACCCUAUAUGCCUUUAUCACAUAAGUGAGCAAGGGAAAUAUUUAUAGCUUCUAGAUCGGUCUGUAUGGUAUCAGAUAGUUGGUGAGGUAAUGGCUCACCAAGUCUAUGACACCUAACUGGUUUGAGAGGAUGAUCAGUCACACUGGAACUGAGACACGGUCCAGACUCCUACGGGAGGCAGCAGUGGGGAAUAUUGCACAAUGGAGGGAACUCUGAUGCAGCAACGCCGCGUGGAGGAUGACACAUUUCGGUGCGUAAACUCCUUUUAUAUAGGAAGAUAAUGACGGUACUAUAUGAAUAAGCACCGGCUAACUCCGUGCCAGC